This 253-nucleotide ribosomal RNA is filed under the name uncultured bacterium. RNAcentral describes it as "partial 16S ribosomal RNA". It matches the Rfam family "Bacterial small subunit ribosomal RNA", at positions 524 to 776 of the family's 1533-position model. The record is from RNAcentral.
UACGAAGGGGGCUAGCGUUGCUCGGAAUCACUGGGCGUAAAGCGCACGUAGGCGGGUUGUUAAGUCGGGGGUGAAAUCCUGGAGCUCAACUCCGAAACUGCAUUCGAUACUGCCGUGCUUGAGGACUGGAGAGGAGACUGGAAUUUACGGUGUAGCGGUGAAAUGCGUAGAUAUCGUAAGGAAGACCAGUGGCGAAGGCGGGUCUCUGGACAGUUCCUGACGCUGAGGCACGAAGGUCAGGGGAGCAAACGGG